Molecule: ribosomal RNA, 467 nt
Filed under: uncultured bacterium
Lineage: Bacteria
Description: partial 16S ribosomal RNA
Rfam family: Bacterial small subunit ribosomal RNA
Source: RNAcentral
GACGAACGCUGGCGGCGUGCUUAACACAUGCAAGUCGAACGGAAAGGCCUCUUUCGGGGGGUACUCGAGUGGCGAACGGGUGAGUAACACGUGAGUAACCUGCCCUUGACUUUGGGAUAACUUCAGGAAACUGGGGCUAAUACCGGAUAGGAGCUCCUGCUGCAUGGUGGGGGUUGGAAAGUUUCGGCGGUUGGGGAUGGACUCGCGGCUUAUCAGCUUGUUGGUGGGGUAGUGGCUUACCAAGGCUUUGACGGGUAGCCGGCCUGAGAGGGUGACCGGCCACAUUGGGACUGAGAUACGGCCCAGACGCCUACGGGAGGCAGCAGUGGGGAAUAUUGCACAAUGGGUGGAAGCCUGAUGCAGCAACGCCGGGUGCGGGAUGACGGCCUUCGGGUUGGAAACCGCUUUCGCUCAUGACGAAGCUUUGUGUGACGGUAGUGGGUAAAGAAGCACCGGCUAACUACGUG